Molecule: ribosomal RNA, 550 nt
Filed under: uncultured bacterium
Lineage: Bacteria
Description: bacterial SSU rRNA
Rfam family: Bacterial small subunit ribosomal RNA
Source: RNAcentral
UAGGGAAUCCUCGGCAAUGGACGGAAGUCUGACCGAGCAACGCCGCGUGAGUGAAGAAGGUUUUCGGAUCGUAAAGCUCUGUUGUAAGAGAAGAACGAGUGUGAGAGUGGAAAGUUCACACUGUGACGGUAUCUUACCAGAAAGGGACGGCUAACUACGUGCCAGCAGCCGCGGUAAUACGUAGGUCCCGAGCGUUGUCCGGAUUUAUUGGGCGUAAAGCGAGCGCAGGCGGUUAGAUAAGUCUGAAGUUAAGGGCUGUGGCUUAACCAUAGUAGGCUUUGGAAACUGUUUAACUUGAGUGCAAGAGGGGAGAGUGGAAUUCCAUGUGUAGCGGUGAAAUGCGUAGAUAUAUGGAGGAACACCGGUGGCGAAAGCGGCUCUCUGGCUUGUAACUGACGCUGAGGCUCGAAAGCGUGGGGAGCAAACAGGAUUAGAUACCCUGGUAGUCCACGCUGUAAACGAUGAGUGCUAGGUGUUAGACCCUUUCCGGGGUUUAGUGCCGUAGCUAACGCAUUAAGCACUCCGCCUGGGGAGUACGACCGCAAGGUUG